Molecule: ribosomal RNA, 460 nt
Filed under: uncultured bacterium
Lineage: Bacteria
Description: partial 16S ribosomal RNA
Rfam family: Bacterial small subunit ribosomal RNA
Source: RNAcentral
CCUACGGGUGACAGCAGUGAGGAAUAUUGGUCAAUGGGCGAAAGCCUGAACCAGCCAUGCCGCGUGCAGGAAGACGGCUCUAUGAGUUGUAAACUGCUUUUGUACGAGGGUAAACACAGAUACGUGUAUCUGCUUGAAAGUAUCGUACGAAUAAGGAUCGGCUAACUCCGUGCCAGCAGCCGCGGUAAUACGGAGGAUCCAAGCGUUAUCCGGAUUUAUUGGGUUUAAAGGGUGCGUAGGCGGAUUGAUAAGUUAGAGGUGAAAUGUCCGAGCUUAACUCGGGAACUGCCUCUAAUACUGUUGAUCUAGAGAGUAGAUGCGGUAGGCGGAAUGUAUGGUGUAGCGGUGAAAUGCUUAGAGAUCAUACAGAACACCGAUUGCGAAGGCAGCUUACCAAUCUAUAUCUGACGUUGAGGCACGAAAGCGUGGGGAGCAAACAGGAUUAGAUACCCGUGUAGUC